CAGCCGCCGCGGUAACACCGGCGGCCCGAGUGGUGAUCGUGAUUAUUGGGUCUAAAGGGUCCGUAGCCGGUUUGGUCAGUCCUCCGGGAAAUCUGAUAGCUCAACUAUUAGGCUUUCGGGGGAUACUGCCAGACUUGGAACCGGGAGAGGUAAGAGGUACUACAGGGGUAGGAGUGAAAUCUUGUAAUCCCUGUGGGACCACCUGUGGCGAAGGCGUCUUACCAGAACGGGUUCGACGGUGAGGGACGAAAGCUGGGGGCACGAACCGGAUUAGAUACCCGGGUAGUCCCAGCCGUAAACGAUGCUCGCUAGGUGUCAGGCAUGGCGCGACCGUGUCUGGUGCCGCAGGGAAGCCGUGAAGCGAGCCACCUGGGAAGUACGGCCGCAAGGCUGAAACUUAAAGGAAUUGGCGGGGGAGCACAACAACGGGUGGAAGCCUGCGGUUUAAUUGGACUCAACGCCGGACAACUCACCGGGGGCGACAGCAAUAUGUAGGCCAAGCUGAAGACUUUGCCUGAAUCGCUGAGAAGUGGUGCAUGG
This 540-nucleotide ribosomal RNA is filed under the name uncultured archaeon. RNAcentral describes it as "bacterial SSU rRNA". It matches the Rfam family "Archaeal small subunit ribosomal RNA", at positions 459 to 997 of the family's 1478-position model. The record is from RNAcentral.